RNAcentral lists this ribosomal RNA (327 nucleotides) under Triticum aestivum (bread wheat). RNAcentral's name for it is "partial small subunit ribosomal RNA". The record is from RNAcentral. Lineage: Eukaryota; Viridiplantae; Streptophyta; Magnoliopsida; Poales; Poaceae.
GAGAAAGUCAUGCUUGUUGAGUCCCUUGCGUUCAAUUUACUUUCCGUUCGUCAACUUGCACUCAUGGGCUUUGCCACCUUCUUUGAUAUUGAUACCGUGGCCCUCUUGUGGAGCAAGACUAUUAAAGUAGCCUUUGUUGGGCAUGUCAAGAACGGUCUCUAUGUGAUUAACUUUUCGGAGCAACCCACUAAGACCGCGACAUGCCUAAUGGCUAAAGCUGAUGUGGGAUGGCUUUGGCAUCACCAUUUAGCCCACGUCAAUAUGAGAUCUUUGCAAAGUCUUCUCAAGGGGGACCAUGUCUGUGGACUAACAAAUGUUAGUUUUGCC